GAUGAAGAACGCAGCGAAAUGCGAUAAGUAAUGUGAAUUGCAGAAUUCAGUGAAUCAUCGAAUCUUUGAACGCACAUUGCGCCCGCCAGUAUUCUGGCGGGCAUGCCUGUUCGAGCGUCAUUUCAACCAUCAAGCCCCCGGGCCUGUGUUGGGGACCUGCGGCUGCCCGCAGGCCCCGAAAACCAGUGGCGGGCUCGCUGUCACCCCGAGCGUAGUAGCAACACCUCGCCCAGGGAGUGCCGCGGGCACCGGCCGUAAAACCUCGCCCUCGCGCGAGAAACACCCCAAAGGUUGACCUCGGAUCAGGUAGGAAGACCCGCUGAACUUAAGCAUAUCAAUAAGCGGAGGA
RNAcentral lists this unclassified non-coding RNA (349 nucleotides) under soil metagenome. RNAcentral describes it as "partial contains 5.8S ribosomal RNA, internal transcribed spacer 2, and large subunit ribosomal RNA". The stretch from base 1 to 120 matches the Rfam family "5.8S ribosomal RNA", at positions 35 to 154 of the family's 154-position model. The record is from RNAcentral.